RNAcentral lists this ribosomal RNA (460 nucleotides) under uncultured bacterium. Its description in RNAcentral is "partial 16S ribosomal RNA". It matches the Rfam family "Bacterial small subunit ribosomal RNA", at positions 338 to 795 of the family's 1533-position model. The record is from RNAcentral.
CCUACGGGAGGCAGCAGUGAGGAAUAUUGGUCAAUGGACGAGAGUCUGAACCAGGCAAGUAGCGUGAAGGAUGACUGCCCUAUGGGUUGUAAACUUCUUUUAUAUGGGAAUAAAAUGUUCCACGUGUGGGAUUUUGUAUGUACCAUAUGAAUAAGGAUCGGCUAACUCCGUGCCAGCAGCCGCGGUAAUACGGAGGAUCCGAGCGUUAUCCGGAUUUAUUGGGUUUAAAGGGAGCGUAGGUGGAUUGUUAAGUCAGUUGUGAAAGUUUGCGGCUCAACCGUAAAAUUGUAGUUGAAACUGGCAGUCUUGAGUACAGUAGAGGUGGGCGGAAUUCGUGGUGUAGCGGUGAAAUGCUUAGAUAUCACGAAGAACUCCGAUUGCGAAGGCAGUUCACUGGACUGCAACUGACACUGAGGCUCGAAAGUGUGGGUAUCAAACAGGAUUAGAUACCCCAGUAGUC